This 389-nucleotide ribosomal RNA is filed under the name uncultured Alphaproteobacteria bacterium. Its description in RNAcentral is "bacterial SSU rRNA". It matches the Rfam family "Bacterial small subunit ribosomal RNA", at positions 9 to 429 of the family's 1533-position model. The record is from RNAcentral. Lineage: Bacteria; Pseudomonadati; Pseudomonadota; Alphaproteobacteria.
GAGUUUGAUCAUGGCUCAGAACGAACGCUGGCGGCAGGCCUAACACAUGCAAGUCGAGCGCCCAGCAAUGGGAGCGGCGGACGGGUGAGUAACGCGUGGGAAUUUUUCCUGGAGUACGGAACAACCGAGGGAAACUUCGGCUAAUACCGUAUGAUAUCGAGAGAUCAAAGAUUUAUCGCUCUGGGGUGAGCCCGCGUCAGAUUAGGUAGUUGGUGGGGUAACGGCCUACCAAGCCUGCGAUCUGUAGCUGGUCUGAGAGGACGAUCAGCCACACUGGGACUGAGACACGGCCCAGACUCCUACGGGAGGCAGCAGUGGGGAAUCUUGCGCAAUGGGCGAAAGCCUGACGCAGCCAUGCCGCGUGAGUGAAGAAGGCCUUCGGUUGUAAG